Molecule: long non-coding RNA, 1708 nt
Organism: Alexandromys fortis (reed vole)
Lineage: Eukaryota; Metazoa; Chordata; Mammalia; Rodentia; Cricetidae
Exons: 3
Source: RefSeq, a predicted model, not a curated record
CUUUACCAACCAAGCCACAUUCCCAGUGCUGCGACCUCUCUUCUCAUCUGUGGGACGGGUCACCGGGAUAGAACAUUCACGAGAUAGGCAGAAAAAUCAGGGAAGCUUUCACUUUCACUUCUUGUGGGUACCUGGGAGCCCUGGAUCAAGGGAAGAGCUGAAUGGAACAACAUUGUAGCCUUUAUCACCAGACAGGAAAACCAAGUCCUCACAGACCCAGGCCAGGGAAGCAGGAGCUGGUGCAUCCCGCUGGCUAUCACAUCAGUGGCUGAGAGGGGAAACCCUUGGUUGGUUUCCAUGCAGGAAUAAAGCAGAGCUGUGUUACUAAGAAUCAACUGUGUUACUAAGAAUCAACUGUGUUACUAAGAAUCAACUGCCUGCUCCAGGCCAGGCCUGGAACAGUCCAUGCUUUGGCAAUGUGUACAGCAGCCCACAGCUCUUCUCUAUAGGCUGCCUCGUCCUGGCCUGGCAAUGAGAGUGAGGCUAGAAGCAGUCCCAGACCCAGAUCGUUUCUGGUGGGCCACAGGGCUUCCCACAGCAAUCCUAUCAGGAAACUCCCAGCCUCAGCUUGGAGACCCGAUGAAGUACCCAUUUCCUCCAGCAAGAGCCACAUAAGAGCUACAAACCUGCAGUGUAACACACAGGCCAAGAGCUCAGACGGCCUUUCUGGUGUUGAAUUGGUAUGGUAUGGUGCUCAAUUAAGGGCACACUCUUAGAGUCAAAUGCCCACUUGAAUCCCAAGUGCUAGGUGAGCAUGAGCAAGUUCUCGGCCUCUUUGAACUUCAGCUUCCUUCUGCACAGUGGUUAGUGACAGACUCGAGAACAGGGCACUCCCACAGCUGUGUCCUGAGUCCUGUGUCAUGGAUUUCCACACAGUAAGUGAAGCAAAGACAUCUGCAGCCGGGCAAUGUCAAGUGGGAUUCCUCCUCUGAUGUGAAUGCAAUGACAUUCAAAUUUCUCUUUUGUAAGAAGCCAGCUUUACAGAUUUGCUAAAACUCAAACUGCAAGGAAACAUUGCAUCUGCAAUGGUGGAGUUAUACUACUCAAUGGAAAAAGAGGGAUGAAGGGUCCUCCCAGCUCAAGGACGCCCACUCCCCAGUACCUCAGGCUAAUCGAGACUGUUCGGCUGGUGCUGAAGAAUUGGAUGGGGUUCUAAGAGACCAGUAUCACCGAGGGGGAACCUUUGGGUAGUGUUUUCCCGGGUCAGCACUCAGAAUGUGAGGUCCAGAGGGGGCCCUGACUGUUCCUGCAUUAGCAGCUGAGUAUGUAAUGUGAACAGAGUUUCCCAGGUAGUGCUGGCUUUAAAGGCAUGAAGGAGCCAUGGGGAGAAGGUAAGGCUUGGCUUCAGGUGGAAGGAUCAGAGCUCCUGAGAAGAACCCAGGAGAGGUGAUCAGUGAAGGUACAGCCCAGCUGCAAGAGAGACUCAGAAUCUGAGAUGCCAGUACCAUGGACCGGAUCACCAACGACAGCAGAUCGCGAAGAGGAGCCACAGCUGUGGAGUAGCAUCAGCUCGGGCCGUGCAGACAAGCUGUGUGCUGCAGAAGAUGGAGCUGGAGGUGACUCAGGCCCUUCGCAGCCCAGAGAACAGGGAGUGGGUCCAAGGUAUCAGAUGCUGUAGUUUUUAUCUAUUGGACUUUGGUCUUUCUUUGAUUUGGUUGUGACUGUGACCUGGUUCUUCAUUCUUGGAUUAAGAAGGUAUUUAAGUCUA